RNAcentral lists this transfer RNA (77 nucleotides) under Arenimonas sp. RNAcentral describes it as "tRNA-Arg". It matches the Rfam family "tRNA". Rfam says of the family: Transfer RNA (tRNA) molecules are approximately 80 nucleotides in length. Lineage: Bacteria; Pseudomonadati; Pseudomonadota; Gammaproteobacteria; Lysobacterales; Lysobacteraceae. The record is from RNAcentral.
GCGCUCGUAGCUCAGCUGGAUAGAGCACCACCCUCCGAAGGUGGGGGUCACAGGUUCGACUCCUGUCGGGCGCGCCA